This 410-nucleotide ribosomal RNA is filed under the name uncultured bacterium. RNAcentral's name for it is "bacterial SSU rRNA". It matches the Rfam family "Bacterial small subunit ribosomal RNA", at positions 28 to 430 of the family's 1533-position model. The record is from RNAcentral.
GACGAACGCUGGCGGCGUGUUUAACCCAUGCAAGUUGAACGAGAAUUUUUUAACAGAUUCUUCGGAAGAAGUUAAGAAAGAAGUAGCGAACGGGUGAGUAACGCGUGAAUAACCAACCCUCCACAGGGGGACAACAGCUGGAAACGGCUGCUAAUACCGCAUAAGACCACGGUGACACAUGUUACAGUGGUAAAAACUGAGGUGGUGGAGGACGGGUUCGCGUUCCAUUAGCUAGUAGGUAGGGUAACGGCCUACCUAGGCAACGAUGGAUAGCCGAGCUGAGAGGCUGAUCGGCCACACUGGAACUGAGACACGGUCCAGACUCCUACGGGAGGCAGCAGGGAGAUAUGUACAAUGGGGGAAACCCUGAUACAGCAACGCCGCGUGAAGGAAGAAGGCUGGUUGUAAAC